GCCUUAGAUGUUCUGGGCCGCACGCGCGCUACACUGAUGCAUUCAACAAGCCUAGCCUUGACCGAGAGGUCCGGGUAAUCUUUGAAACUGCAUCGUGAUGGGGCUAGAUUAUUGCAAUUAUUAAUCUUCAACGAGGAAUGCCUAGUAAGCGUGAUUCAUCAAAUCGCGUUGAUUACGUCCCUGCCCUUUGUACACACCGCCCGUCGCUCCUACCGAUUGAAUGUGUUGGUGAGGAGCUCGGAUUGGCAGCAGUUGGUGGUUCGCCACCGGCUAUUGCUGAGAAGUCCUCCAAACCGCCCCAUUUAGAGGAAGGAGAAGUCGUAACA
This 326-nucleotide ribosomal RNA is filed under the name uncultured eukaryote. RNAcentral describes it as "partial 18S ribosomal RNA". It matches the Rfam family "Eukaryotic small subunit ribosomal RNA", at positions 1470 to 1796 of the family's 1831-position model. The record is from RNAcentral.